This 380-nucleotide ribosomal RNA is filed under the name uncultured eukaryote. RNAcentral's name for it is "partial 18S ribosomal RNA". It matches the Rfam family "Eukaryotic small subunit ribosomal RNA", at positions 592 to 976 of the family's 1831-position model. The record is from RNAcentral.
CAAUAGCGUAUAUUAAAGUUGUUGCGGUUAAAAAGCUCGUAGUUGGAGUUCUGCCAGGUGCCGCCUGUCCGCCCCAGUGGUGAGUACGUGGCGCGCAUUUGGCCCUUUCAAGGGGAGCGUAUCUGCACUUUAUUGUGUGGUGCGGGAUCCUUGACUUUUACUUUGAGGAAAUAGGAGUGUUCCAAGCAGGCUCUCGUCGUGCACAGCUCAGCAUGGAAUAAUAGCAUUGGACCUCGAUUCUAAGCUGUUGGUUGCCAGAAGCGAGGUAAUGAUGAAGAGGGAUAGUUGGGGGCAUUCGUAUUUAACUGUCAGAGGUGAAACUCUUGGAUUUGUUAAAGACGGACUACUGCGAAAGCAUCUGCCAUGGAUGUUUUCAUUGA